Molecule: long non-coding RNA, 1149 nt
Organism: Cucumis melo (muskmelon)
Lineage: Eukaryota; Viridiplantae; Streptophyta; Magnoliopsida; Cucurbitales; Cucurbitaceae
Exons: 4
Source: RefSeq, a predicted model, not a curated record
AAAAAAUCAAAGAAAGAAAGAGGGGAAAAGAAAAGAGAAAAAGGGAGAAAAAAAUUUAUUAUUAAUCAAACCCUAGCCGCCGCACGCCGCCGUCGCCGCCACCGCGAACCCGAGCCGCCAAGCCUUCCCCUCCCUGUUCAGCAGCGCAGCCGAGUCUGCAGUCAAAACCGAGCCGUCGCCGAGCUUCUAGCCGCGUCGGAAGAAUCGUCUAAGCCGAUCCGCGCACGCCGAGCGUCCGUCGGAGCAGCCGUCUCUCGCAGCCGUCGCCGAAGCCGAGCCGCGUCACCCUUCGCGAUCCGCAACUGAUCCGUCAGCCAGCCGCGUCGCGCCGCUUCGAUCCGACGCAGCGCAGCCGAGCGUCCGUCUGCAGCCGUCGCCGAGCGAAGCCGAGGUGUAGCCGGACCACCCGCAGCCGUCGCGCCACCCGGAUCCGAAAACCAGCGCCUCGUCGCGUGAGGACCCGACCCGGCCGAAGCCCGCUCCGUAACCCGAGGCCCGGCCCGCGCCGCGUGCCUCCGACCCGGAACCCGAGCCGCGUGCACCUGCGAGCCGAGCAGCGCCCGCGUGCGAGCCGCACGUGCGUAGCCGCUGUACCAAGCCGAGCCGCGCCUGUCUGCACCACGAGCCGCGCCUGUCUGCGCCGCGAGCCGAGCCGAUCUUCAACCUCCAAGCCGAGUCGGUCCCUGCCCUUUUUCCAGCCGAGCCGCCAAGCCUAAUUUGGCUCCUCCCAUCCAAUUUUGAUUAUUUUCCUUAAGGGACGUCUUGGACCAAGUAACUGCUGCAGCGUGGGAUUCUCCCUCGGCUUAAAGGGAGUUAGCGCAACCUUGAUUUUGGGGGCCCUACUGCUUGGGAAGCACACCUUCUCUUACUUUUAGGACUCGACAACCAAAUCUCCAAGUAGAGGACGAGGCAAGGGCAAAGGCAAGCUGGCGAGCGACCCGAAGUGACCGUGGCGAGCCAUAGGGACUCCUACUUCCGCUUAUUCUUGUUUUUGACUUUAGUACCUGAGUUUGAGUAUUCUUCAUUAUUUACCAUCUUUUAUGUAGAUAGGGCCCGAGUAGGACUUUAGAACGCAUUUCAUUUUUUGCAUAACUACCUUGUUUGGAUUCUCAUAAAUAAAAUUUCUCAAACCUUAUGCGUUUUACUAAA